CCUACGGGAGGCAGCAGUGAGGAAUAUUGGUCAAUGGGCGCGAGCCUGAACCAGCCAUGUAGCGUGAAGGAUGACGGCCCUACGGGUUGUAAACUUCUUUUAUAAAGGAGUAAAGUGAGGCACGUGUGCCUAUCUGUAUGUACUUUAUGAAUAAGGAUCGGCUAACUCCGUGCCAGCAGCCGCGGUAAUACGGAGGAUCCGAGCGUUAUCCGGAUUUAUUGGGUUUAAAGGGAGCGUAGAUGGGUUGUUAAGUCAGUUGUGAAAGGUUGCGGCUUAACCGUAAAAUUGCAAUUGAUACUGGCAGUCUUGAGUACAGUUGAGGUAGGCGGAAUUCGUGGUGUAGCGGUGAAAUGCUUAGAGAUCACGAAGAACUCCGAUUGCGAAGGCAGCUUACUAAUCUGCCACUGACAUUGAUGCUCGAAAGUGUGGGUAUCAAACAGGAUUAGAUACCCCUGUAGUC
Molecule: ribosomal RNA, 460 nt
Filed under: uncultured bacterium
Lineage: Bacteria
Description: partial 16S ribosomal RNA
Rfam family: Bacterial small subunit ribosomal RNA
Source: RNAcentral